This 460-nucleotide ribosomal RNA is filed under the name uncultured bacterium. RNAcentral's name for it is "partial 16S ribosomal RNA". It matches the Rfam family "Bacterial small subunit ribosomal RNA", at positions 338 to 795 of the family's 1533-position model. The record is from RNAcentral.
CCUACGGGAGACAGCAGUGAGGAAUAUUGGUCAAUGGGCGCGAGCCUGAACCAGCCAAGUAGCGUGAAGGAUGACUGCCCUACGGGUUGUAAACUUCUUUUAUAAAGGAAUAAAGUGAGGCACGUGUGCCUUUUUGUAUGUACUUUAUGAAUAAGGAUCGGCUAACUCCGUGCCAGCAGCCGCGGGAAUACGGAGGAUCCGAGCGUUAUCCGGAUUUAUUGGGUUUAAAGGGAGCGUAGGUGGGUUUUUAAGUCCGUUGUGAAAGUUUGCGGCUCAACCGUCAAAUUGCAAUUGAUACUGGCAGCCUUGAGUACAGUUGAGGUAGGCGGAAUUCGUGUUGUAGCGGUGAAAUGCUUAGCUCUCACGCAGAACUCCGAUUGCGAAGGCAGCUUACUAAACUGCCACUGACAUUGAUGCUCGAAAGUGUGGGUAUCAAACAGGAUUAGAUACCCUUGUAGUC